UAGAUGGAGGCAUCAUGAAAGAGGAGUAAGAAACCUCGAAUUCGACGAUGAAAGAAUCGGAGGUAACAAAUAAAAUUGAAGAUAGAGAGAAAGGGCCUGAGUGAUUGAGAGAAGAGACGACCGAAGAUCUAAAGUUGGGGAGAAAAGUGGUGGAAAAGAGUUAUGGAUCUAUAGAAAAUAAAAAAUCUCCGGAUAUUAAUCUACCAAAAAUAGAAAAUAUACUGAUCUACCAAGAAAUAUGAGAUCUUCGAAUGAUGAUUCACUAGAAAAUAGAGGAUCUGUAGGAAAAUAGAGGAUAUGCGGAUCCACUGAAAAAUAGAAAAUCUUCGGAUGUUGAUUCACUCAGAAACAGAUAUUGAUAGAUUGGCAAUGGGGGAUCUUCAAAGCUUCUAGAUAUGGCAAUGACGGCUACAAAAAAGGCGGAAGAGAUGGUGACAACAAAUUAGAUGAUCGGUGGUUUUGAUACGAUGUUGAAAUCUUGGCAGAAGAAAAGAAAAACAAGAGAGAAAAAAAAGAGAAAAGUGAUUUUAUUUCUUUAUUCCAUCACAUUUUGUACAUCUCAAAGGUUAUAUAUACUCGUAUAUAUAAGAAAAAUAAUAUAGGCUGAUAUGUGAUCACGCUAACAAAGAAAAAUAUUAUGGGCGAUACAGGUUGUUAUGUGAUCCC
Molecule: long non-coding RNA, 666 nt
Filed under: Phoenix dactylifera (date palm)
Lineage: Eukaryota; Viridiplantae; Streptophyta; Magnoliopsida; Arecales; Arecaceae
Description: long non-coding RNA (PDAC_LNC015964)
Source: RNAcentral